Molecule: long non-coding RNA, 3785 nt
Organism: Aethalodelphis obliquidens (Pacific white-sided dolphin)
Lineage: Eukaryota; Metazoa; Chordata; Mammalia; Artiodactyla; Delphinidae
Exons: 2
Source: RefSeq, a predicted model, not a curated record
UGUGGGACUUUACUUCCCUGACCAGGGGUUGAACCUGCGUCGCCUGCAUGGUAAGGCAGAUUCUUUACCACUGGACCACCAGGGAAAUACCCCCCUUUAAUCUUUAAAUCAAGAGAGGAUUAGGGGCACAGCACUGUGCUAUCUAAUGAAUUAUUCCUACAGAUGUAGAAAAGAUAAAUAUUUAUUGAUUUAAUCAGAUGAGUGAAAGUUUAGUGAGCAUUCCCUGACAUAUUGACAUACUUGGGCCAGCUGAUUUUCUAUCCUUUAGCAAAUCUCACUUGGGUUCUAUUGGCGUAAUUAAGUGGUGUUGAUAAACCAUCUCUAUUUUCUUUCCCCCUGAAGCCUGACACCCAGUGGUCAGGCUUUGAAACCAGAACACUUCCUUGCCAGGAUUAACUAAGAAAAGAGGAGGCUAUUCUUAGCCUCCUGCCUCACACUUUGAUCUUGAGGGUGCAAGAGGUGGGUGAAAUACUGAGCCAGGGGCCAGACCCAGAGGGCCACACAAUGCUUGAGAUGCAUUUAAGCUAUCCCUUCACAGGGGACUUGCCUUGAGGAGAUGGGGAUUUAAGCCGCUUCCUUCCUCAGUGUCCUUGUUAUUUGACUGCUGAGCCUUUGUUCAUUCCCUCCUCUUUUGGAGAGGGAUAAAGUGAAGUCUCAUCUUUCACCCAGGGGUCAGACACUGAAGUCAGACCUUAAGGCAAAAAUCAUUAUAUAGUCCAAAUUAAAUCUCCCCAAGAAGGUGCUGUAUUACAGAUGCAUGCUGAGCUAUUUCAAGAAAAAAAAAAAUGGCCAGUUUUUCCUUCAGUAUUGAAAGAUCACAGUUUUUAAGCUGAGAAUUGAUAUAGUUGGCCUUCAUUCAGAGGCCAUUUACUAGAGAAUAUCAAUGAAAAUGAGAAUCCCACUCAUUACCGAAGACGUACUUCAAGAGGCAGACAUGUCUUGAGGAAAGAGCAAGUUCAACGCUUCGUAAGCCGGAGGCACUUUCACUCAGAAUAGUGGGCAGAGUUGCCCAAACUGUUUACAUUGGGUUUUCUCUGUUUUUGUUCGUGUUUGCUGACUCCUCAUAAUUGAAUUAUCACAUAUAAUUAAUUAAUUGCUACUUUGGAUAUUUUGAGAAUUGGGCAAUCAUUGUGACAAAUGCUUUGUAAACUGUAAGAUCCCUGUGGUGGUCAUCAGUGUGAUUCUCCAAAUAUUUCUGGUUCCAGGCAGGUGGUAGUUUUUUUCAUCUCCCUUGAAGUUAGGUAUGGCCACGUGACUCGCUCACUUUAGGCCAGUGUAGAAGUGAGACUGUAAGCUUUAAGAGCAUAGUCAGUGUGUGAUUCCCAUUGACCGAUCUCCCUCUGCCAUGGCCCUGUCCCAGAGUGAGGCCACACAAAGCAAAGUUCCCAGCUGACCCCAGAUGGAAAUGAGCAAGAAAUAAACCCACGUUUGUAGAAGCCACUGGGGUAUGGGGACUCUUUGUUGCUACAAUAUAUUUAGCUCAUCCUGACUCAGGUAACAUACAACACUUACAGGUCUUAUGUGAGAUUGUGCUAUUUGAUGCACAAGCCUAAUCCAAUCAACAAGGCUUAUGGUGAAGGUACAGUUGUGAUUGUAUUUAAAACAAACUUCGGAACUCUUAACAGAAAAAGCUAGCUCCAGGAUCCUCCAAGGAUAUGUUUGAGUCAUGCCUUAUGUCCAAUAACCAAGCAUGAGCAUUCAUGGGAAAGGUGGAGAACUGAUAUUUGGUGAGGCCCCUCUCUCUUCCUGCCGCUGUGCUAGACUGAUUUGCGCAGAUGAACACAUUCUGUCCUAACAGCAACACCGGGAAGAACCCUGGGUAUUAUUCCUACUGCUCAAUAUAGAAAGUAAGGCUGAGAGAUACUAAAUGGCCCAGGUCACACAGCUAGCUAAUAAGCAGGUGAGAAAAUUGUUUUUGAGAGCGCAGAAUGCAACUUUAAUAUACAGUGACAAUCUCAGCUUAAACCUAGAAAUUGGCGAGGAGUACCUACUUGCUGAAGUCUAGUUGCACAGCUUAAGGAUUAAUUACUCUUAUUCUGGAUUUAAAAGGGAAAAUGUAAGUCUCUCCACUGCACUUUGACCUUCCUCACUGACUGACCUUGCAAAAAGUCACCCUGAUGUAAACUUCUACAUAACAAAACCCUAAGGGUCACCCUUGCAAUUUGGGACUCCUGUAUGGGUGGGAAUGUUGGCUGGACUCUCUUUACCAGAGCUCUCUCUUAUUGCUUGAUUCAUUUUCCUCAUUUAUAUUACUGUAUCUUUCCUUAAAAAAGAAAAACAACAACAAAACCCAGCAACCUAAAAUGAUGCUAUCAGAAUGCUAUACCUUUCAAAUUCAGAUUUUUAAAAAAUUGCAAAGCCAAAUAUAUUCAUUUGUAUUUAUAUAAAGUAGUGUGAAUAACUAAGAGCCAGGUUUAAUUGCUUGAGAAUAUUGCCACGUACCACACAUUAUGAAGCUUUUUUAUGUUAGUUUGUUAUAUAGCUGUAUUAAGGCACCUUGGUGCAUUUCUGUGCAUGGACGUGGAAUGGGCACCAUGAGCAGCUGGUCAGUUUUUAAUAGGGGGCUGCCUUGUAAUACGGUUAAGCCAGUGGUUCUCAACCCAGCCCCACCUUAGACCAAUGAAAUCAAAAUCUCUAAGAUUGGGCCCACACAUCAGGUUUGUUUUUUUUUUUCCCCCCAAAACUCCCCAUUUGGUUCUAAUGUGAAUUCAGGGUUUAGAUACCUUGGGUUAAAAUCAUGGGCUCUUCUUGGUCAGGCAGUCUUGGAUUCAAAUCCUGAGUUGACAGAGGACGUUACUUUAAGCUUUGCCAUCUAUAAAAUGAGGAUAGUUUAGUAUUUACUUCACACGUUUGUAUUAAGUAUAAAAUUAUAUAGUAUAUGUAAAAGGGCAUAGUCCCUUCCCAGGAUCAAGUACCCAGUAGAUUAUUACUGUGAUUAAUUUUUAAAUGACUGGGAACUUUGGGUCAGGUUGAAGCAGGAAAGAAGGUCUCCAUUUGCAAAGAAGCAAACCCAACUUGACAGUUUGAGAAGCGACUUGCCCAAGUUCUCACGACUAGGCCUAGGGUCCUGUUCCCUCCUCCAAAGCUGAUUUUCUUAUCUUUAUGCCAUCUCCCCUUUAAAUUUCAGCUUCUUAGUUACACCAGGUAGCCUUCCCUUCAAUUACCGACAGCAAGGAGCUGGACGCCUUUAGGAAGGGAAUGUGCACAGCAGGCUGCUCAGCCCCUCGCAGGGGUCCCAGCAUUAUGACCGUUGGCUGUACACCAGUAGGCUGAAUAAUGACCCACCCCCACAAGUCAUUCAUGUCCUAAUCCCUGGAACCUGUGAAUAGAUUACCUUACGUUCCAAUAGGGACUUGGCAGAUGUGAUUAAUUUAAGGAUUUUGAGAAGAGCACGUUAUCCUGGAUUAUUUGGUGGGUCCACUAUAAUCAUAAGGGUCCUUAUAAGAAGGAGGCAGGACGCUCACAGAGUAGGAGAUUUGAUGACUGAGGCAGAGAGAGUUUGGACUGAUUUGAGGAAAGAGCCAAAGAAUGCAGGUGGCUUCUGGAAGCUAGAGGAGUCAGAGAAACAGGUUCUCCCUUAGAGCCUACAGAAGGAAUACAGAUCUGUUGACACCUUGAUGUUAGCCUGCAAGACCCAUUUUGGACUUCUGACUUCUAGAAUUGUAAACUAAUAAAUGUGUUUUAUUUUACUAAUUUUGUAGUAAUUUGUUACAGCAGCAAUAGGAAGCUAAUGCAACCUGCAUCACAUGCUUUAUGUAAAAGCUAUAAACCAGUAUGGUAAUGUC